UCUGAAUCCAGCGAUCCGAGUUC
This 23-nucleotide non-coding RNA is filed under the name Drosophila melanogaster (fruit fly). RNAcentral also lists the same sequence under 3 other names. Lineage: Eukaryota; Metazoa; Arthropoda; Insecta; Diptera; Drosophilidae. The record is from RNAcentral.